This 831-nucleotide ribosomal RNA is filed under the name Pristimantis pyrrhomerus (Lynch's Pilalo robber frog). RNAcentral describes it as "partial large subunit ribosomal RNA". It matches the Rfam family "Bacterial large subunit ribosomal RNA", at positions 1389 to 2577 of the family's 2925-position model. The record is from RNAcentral. Lineage: Eukaryota; Metazoa; Chordata; Amphibia; Anura; Strabomantidae.
CCCUAACAUCACUCGACCCCUUUAACCGCACUGAGAACUUCUAUAAAAUUAUAGAACCUUUUAUGCUAAAACUAGUAACAAGAGGUAACCCCUCUCUAUAAUGUAAGUAAAAGCCAGCAAGAACCCACCACUGGCAACUGACAGACCUAAAUAAAAGUAAUAACCACUCCCCAGAAAACCCUACUUCACCCCCGCUGUUAACCUAAUACCAGAACAUUUCAAGAAAGAUUAAAAGAAAGAGAAGGAAUUCGGCAAAAAUUAGCCCCGCCUGUUUACCAAAAACAUCGCCUCUUGCCCAUAUAAGAGGUCCAGCCUGCCCAGUGACUUCUGUUCAACGGCCGCGGUAUCCUAACCGUGCAAAGGUAGCGUAAUCACUUGUCUUCUAAAUAGAGACCAGUAUGAAAGGCAUCACGAGGACUAAACUGUCUCCUCUCCCUAAUCAGUGAACCUAAUAACCCCGUGAAGAAGCGGGGAUUUUUAUAUAAGACGAGAAGACCCUAUGGAGCUUAAAACAUCAUAACACCUGCCAUCCACUUUAUUUACCCAGGUCUACCCCCCCCCCCCAUGGCACCCUGAUUAUAUGUUUUUGGUUGGGGUGACCGCGGAGAAAAAUCCAUCCUCCACAAUGAAAGGGAGUUUCCCUAAGCAGUAAGCCACAACUUUAUGUAUCAGUAAGCUGACAUCAUUGACCCAAUAUAUUUGAUUAACGAACCAAGUUACCCUAGGGAUAACAGCGCAAUCCACUUUGAGAGCCCCUAUCGACAAGUGGGCUUACGACCUCGAUGUUGGAUCGGGGUAUCCUAGUGGUGCAGCCGCUACUAAAGGUUCGUU